UAGUCGAAAGAUUAGCUAAUACCGCAUACGACCUGAGGGUGAAAGUGGGGGACCGCAAGGCCUCACGCAGCAGGAGCGGCCGAUGUCUGAUUAGCUAGUUGGUGGGGUAAAGGCCCACCAAGGCGACGAUCAGUAGCUGGUCUGAGAGGACGAUCAGCCACACUGGGACUGAGACACGGCCCAGACUCCUACGGGAGGCAGCAGUGGGGAAUUUUGGACAAUGGGGGCAACCCUGAUCCAGCAAUGCCGCGUGUGUGAAGAAGGCCUUCGGGUUGUAAAGCACUUUUGUCAGGAAAGAAAUCGCGCUGGUUAAUACCUGGCGUGGAUGACGGUACCGG
This 338-nucleotide ribosomal RNA is filed under the name uncultured bacterium. Its description in RNAcentral is "bacterial SSU rRNA". It matches the Rfam family "Bacterial small subunit ribosomal RNA", at positions 148 to 481 of the family's 1533-position model. The record is from RNAcentral.